GUGUCCCUAAGAGAUCCUCCGAACACUUCAUUGGGAUGGUUUAUUAAUUAAGAUUUCCCACUGAAGUGUUUGGGGGAACUCCAAGUGCCAC
RNAcentral lists this microRNA precursor (91 nucleotides) under Helianthus annuus (common sunflower). RNAcentral describes it as "sRNA HanXRQr2_Chr16g0771121". It matches the Rfam family "mir-395 microRNA precursor family". From Rfam's summary of the family: mir-395 was identified in both Arabidopsis thaliana and Oryza sativa computationally and was later experimentally verified. mir-395 is thought to target mRNAs coding for ATP sulphurylases. The mature sequence is excised from the 3' arm of the hairpin. Lineage: Eukaryota; Viridiplantae; Streptophyta; Magnoliopsida; Asterales; Asteraceae. The record is from Rfam by way of RNAcentral.